RNAcentral lists this ribosomal RNA (258 nucleotides) under Triticum aestivum (bread wheat). Its description in RNAcentral is "partial small subunit ribosomal RNA". The record is from RNAcentral. Lineage: Eukaryota; Viridiplantae; Streptophyta; Magnoliopsida; Poales; Poaceae.
AUGGACCACCCUUACUUAUCGGGCUGGCUACGCCACUGCGAGGGCGGCGGCAUCGGCACGGCGAUCGAGACCGCGACGUCGCACAUCAAGGUGGAGCCGGCGGCCAACGGAGGGAGCUUCGUGAAGGUGGACUCGACGUACAAACUGCUGUCAGGCGUGGAGGUGAAUGACGAAAUCACCAAGGCCAAGGAAUCCGUCACCGCCAUCUUUAAGGCCGCCGAGGCCUACCUCAUCGCCAACCCUGACGCCUACAACUGA